GUCCCCGUAGCUCAGUGGAUAGAGCAUCGCCCUCCGGAGGCGAGUGCGUAGGUUCGAUUCCUAUCGGGGACG
This 72-nucleotide transfer RNA is filed under the name Chloroflexota bacterium. Its description in RNAcentral is "Chloroflexi bacterium (hot springs metagenome) tRNA-Arg". It matches the Rfam family "tRNA". From Rfam's summary of the family: Transfer RNA (tRNA) molecules are approximately 80 nucleotides in length. Their secondary structure includes four short double-helical elements and three loops (D, anti-codon, and T loops). Further hydrogen bonds mediate the characteristic L-shaped molecular structure. tRNAs have two regions of fundamental functional importance: the anti-codon, which is responsible for specific mRNA codon recognition, and the 3' end, to which the tRNAs corresponding amino acid is attached (by aminoacyl-tRNA synthetases). tRNAs cope with the degeneracy of the genetic code in two manners: having more than one tRNA (with a specific anti-codon) for a particular amino acid; and 'wobble' base-pairing, i.e. permitting non-standard base-pairing at the 3rd anti-codon position. Lineage: Bacteria; Bacillati; Chloroflexota. The record is from RNAcentral.